Molecule: long non-coding RNA, 1155 nt
Filed under: Homo sapiens (human)
Lineage: Eukaryota; Metazoa; Chordata; Mammalia; Primates; Hominidae
Description: HSALNT0284913
Source: RNAcentral
GGGGAACAAAGCGCCAUUAGAUGAGCAAUGAGGACUGAGGUGGAGGAAUGUGAGUUGAGUAUUGAGAAUUCUUCAUAGAACUUUGGUUACAAUGGAGAGAAUAUAUGUAAAGAGAACCGUAACUGUGGAUGUAGAGAGGGGUCCAGGGUAUUAAAUUAUGUUUUAAAAUUAUCAAUGAUAAGAGACCCUUUCAGGUUGAAUAUUAAGAGGAAGGGGCCAUCUCUUUUUAGAUCUACAAACUGAAUUCACCACGCCCCUAUUUCCACACUUUACUUCCUUGUUUCUAUUCUGGGGAAGCCUAAAACUUCACAAAAGGGAUCGUGUAGAGUUUGGCCUUAAUGUCUAUUAACUGCAAGGAUGGAUGGAUGGAUGGAUGGAUGGAUGGAUGGAUGGAUGGAUGGAUGCAAGAUGUGUCAAACAGCUGCUGGUAAUUUAUGGUAUUUUAUCUCUCAGGACAGAGUUCUCACACAAGUGACUGAAUCUGUGGCAUUGGUGGCUGAGAGCAGGCAAUUUUUCAGGUCUCUGCAAGAUGGGAGCACCCAGCUUCAGUGUUCAGAAGCAGAUUUAGGCCGACUUCCGUACCUUACAUCCUGGAGGGAUCCACCCUGACUUGAGCAGAAGGCAUCACACACAUUCCCAAGCAGCAUUGUUCCCAUGAGAAACUGAAAACGUAUUUCUUUGAAUCUAGAAUGCAUCUUCCCUCUUCCAGGUGUAACCAUUCAGAGUUUUUCCUGGAGCGAUUCCAGCUUGUUUCCUUUUGGUGCCUUCCUUAAGAAAUUUUGCAGCUGUUUCUGGUGCAGUUUUUGGGUGGGCUCUGGGGUGGGCAGACGAUCUUCACUUUGCAGAGGCUGCUCCUUUUGUGAGUGGAGCUGGUGGUGAGGGAGUAGGAGAGGCCUCGCAUCAUCCUGGCAUUCAGGCCCUUAGCCAUGGAGAAGGACUUGAGGUGGCUUCUUAAGGCAAUGGGGAGCGGGAGCUUGUCCACCAGAUGCACAGGUGUGCAGGACACGAUGGUGCGGCAGCAGAGGUCUUGCAAGCUCAGUACCUUGCUCGGCCUCCCGAGCCAGUUCAACCUGUGCCGCAGCAGCACUAUCCUGGCCAGCUCCGUGAAAGACUCUAUGAUGUUGAAAUUGCACAGAGGGCUGACCUCAAAGAAGG